UAGGGAAUCUUCGGCAAUGGACGAAAGUCUGACCGAGCAACGCCGCGUGAGUGAAGAAGGUUUUUCGGAUCGUAAAACUCUGUUGGUAGAGAAGAACGUUGGUGNGNGUGGAAAGCUCAUCAAGUGACGGUAACUACCCAGAAAGGGACGGCUAACUACGUGCCAC
This 166-nucleotide ribosomal RNA is filed under the name uncultured bacterium. Its description in RNAcentral is "partial 16S rRNA". It matches the Rfam family "Bacterial small subunit ribosomal RNA", at positions 355 to 511 of the family's 1533-position model. The record is from RNAcentral.